UCUUUUAUGGGGUGACUGCGUACCUUUUGUAUAAUGGGUCAGCGACUUAUAUUCUGUAGCAAGGUUAACCGAAUAGGGGAGCCGAAGGGAAACCGAGUCUUAACUGGGCGUUAAGUUGCAGGGUAUAGACCCGAAACCCGGUGAUCUAGCCAUGGGCAGGUUGAAGGUUGGGUAACACUAACUGGAGGACCGAACCGACUAAUGUUGAAAAAUUAGCGGAUGACUUGUGGCUGGGGGUGAAAGGCCAAUCAAACCGGGAGAUAGCUGGUUCUCCCCGAAAGCUAUUUAGGUAGCGCCUCGUGAAUUCAUCUCCGGGGGUAGAGCACUGUUUCGGCAAGGGGGUCAUCCCGACUUACCAACCCGAUGCAAACUGCGAAUACCGGAGAAUGUUAUCACGGGAGACACACGGCGGGUGCUAACGUCCGUCGUGAAGAGGGAAACAACCCAGACCGCCAGCUAAGGUCCCAAAGUCAUGGUUAAGUGGGAAACGAUGUGGGAAGGCCCAGACAGCCAGGAUGUUGGCUUAGAAGCAGCCAUCAUUUAAAGAAAGCGUAAUAGCUCACUGGUCGAGUCGGCCUGCGCGGAAGAUGUAACGGGGCUAAACCAUGCACCGAAGCUGCGGCAGCGACGCUUAUGCGUUGUUGGGUAGGGGAGCGUUCUGUAAGCCUGUGAAGGUGUGCUGUGAGGCAUGCUGGAGGUAUCAGAAGUGCGAAUGCUGACAUAAGUAACGAUAAAGCGGGUGAAAAGCCCGCUCGCCGGAAGACCAAGGGUUCCUGUCCAACGUUAAUCGGGGCAGGGUGAGUCGACCCCUAAGGCGAGGCCGAAAGGCGUAGUCGAUGGGAAACAGGUUAAUAUUCCUGUACUUGGUGUUACUGCGAAGGGGGGACGGAGAAGGCUAUGUUGGCCGGGCGACGGUUGUCCCGGUUUAAGCGUGUAGGCUGGUUUUCCAGGCAAAUCCGGAAAAUCAAGGCUGAGGCGUGAUGACGAGGCACUACGGUGCUGAAGCAACAAAUGCCCUGCUUCCAGGAAAAGCCUCUAAGCAUCAGGUAACAUCAAAUCGUACCCCAAACCGACACAGGUGGUCAGGUAGAGAAUACCAAGGCGCUUGAGAGAACUCGGGUGAAGGAACUAGGCAAAAUGGUGCCGUAACUUCGGGAGAAGGCACGCUGAUAUGUAGGUGAAGUCCCUUGCGGAUGGAGCUGAAAUCAGUCGAAGAUACCAGCUGGCUGCAACUGUUUAUUAAAAACACAGCACUGUGCAAACACGAAAGUGGACGUAUACGGUGUGACGCCUGCCCGGUGCCGGAAGGUUAAUUGAUGGGGUCAGCGCAAGCGAAGCUCUUGAUCGAAGCCCCGGUAAACGGCGGCCGUAACUAUAACGGUCCUAAGGUAGCGAAAUUCCUUGUCGGGUAAGUUCCGACCUGCACGAAUGGCGUAAUGAUGGCCAGGCUGUCUCCACCCGAGACUCAGUGAAAUUGAACUCGCUGUGAAGAUGCAGUGUACCCGCGGCAAGACGGAAAGACCCCGUGAACCUUUACUAUAGCUUGACACUGAACAUUGAGCCUUGAUG
RNAcentral lists this ribosomal RNA (1569 nucleotides) under Escherichia coli. RNAcentral describes it as "partial 23S ribosomal RNA". It matches the Rfam family "Bacterial large subunit ribosomal RNA", at positions 582 to 2136 of the family's 2925-position model. The record is from RNAcentral. Lineage: Bacteria; Pseudomonadati; Pseudomonadota; Gammaproteobacteria; Enterobacterales; Enterobacteriaceae.